Long non-coding RNA from Drosophila hydei, 427 nucleotides. RefSeq lists it as uncharacterized. The record is from RefSeq and is a predicted model, not a curated record. The transcript has 3 exons. Lineage: Eukaryota; Metazoa; Arthropoda; Insecta; Diptera; Drosophilidae.
CAAGGGGUUGGCUGUCAGAUUUAUUAGAAUUAAGCUGACGUUUCCAAUCGAACAACGAACCGUCGCCUUUGCUUUGAAUAGUGGAAAAGAGCCCAAGCUUAAUUGUGGGAAAAAUAUUUGUCUUUUUACUAUUUAAAGCAUCGACAGAUACGGCGGGAAGCUUUGACACGGGAAAAGUCUCUAAAAUAUUUACAACCAAGAUAGCACUUACAAGUGAGUGGCUUUCUAAGAUGGCCACAGAAUCCCGCAACAUUAACGAUGACUUGCACAAUAGCCAGCGACAAGUGCGGGAUAUCGUUCAAGUUGCGAACUUCUGCACCACUCCGAAGUUCACUCUUAAUUAUAAUAAUAUAUACUAAUUUAUAACAUACUAAUACACUCCAAUAAUUCUAAUCAUAUUUCAGCAAUCUGAUAUAUCAAACAGAAC